Molecule: ribosomal RNA, 429 nt
Filed under: Bacteroidota bacterium
Lineage: Bacteria; Pseudomonadati; Bacteroidota
Description: Bacteroidetes bacterium partial 16S ribosomal RNA
Rfam family: Bacterial small subunit ribosomal RNA
Source: RNAcentral
UAGGGAAUCUUCGGCAAUGGGGGGAACCCUGACCGAGCAACGCCGCGUGAGUGAAGAAGGUUUUCGGAUCGUAAAGCUCUGUUGUUAAGGAAGAACGAGUGUGAGAAUGGAAAGUUCAUACUGUGACGGUACUUAACCAGAAAGGGACGGCUAACUACGUGCCAGCAGCCGCGGUAAUACGUAGUUCCCGAGCGUUGUCCGGAUUUAUUGGGCGUAAAGCGAGCGCAGGCGGUUAGAUAAGUCUGAAGUUAAAGGCAGUGGCUCAACCAUUGUAGGCUUUGGAAACUGUUUAACUUGAGUGCAGAAGGGGAGAGUGGAAUUCCAUGUGUAGCGGUGAAAUGCGUAGAUAUAUGGAGGAACACCGGUGGCAAAAGCAGCUCUCUGGUCUGUAACUGACGCUGAGGAUCGAAAGCGUGGGGAGCGAACAGG